GAUGAACGCUGGCGGCGUGCCUAAUACAUGCAAGUCGAGCGAACAGACGAGGAGCUUGCUCCUCUGACGUUAGCGGCGGACGGGUGAGUAACACGUGGAUAACCUACCUAUAAGACUGGGAUAACUUCGGGAAACCGGAGCUAAUACCGGAUAAUAUAUUGAACCGCAUGGUUCAAUAGUGAAAGACGGUUUUGCUGUCACUUAUAGAUGGAUCCGCGCCGCAUUAGCUAGUUGGUAAGGUAACGGCUUACCAAGGCAACGAUGCGUAGCCGACCUGAGAGGGGGGGCGCCGACAUGGGAAGGGAGACAGGGUCAGGACUCAUGGGGGGGGAAGAAGAAGGGAAUCUUCGGCAAGGGGGGAAGGUUGGGGGGCACAGGGCGGGGUGGGUAGGAAGGGUCUUGGGUGCGAAAAACUGUUUUAUGGGGGAAAAAAAAAUGUGAAAAAAAAAAGGCAGGUAUGGAGGGUACAUAAUAAAAAAGCAACGGCAAACUAGGUG
This 497-nucleotide ribosomal RNA is filed under the name uncultured bacterium. RNAcentral describes it as "partial 16S ribosomal RNA". It matches the Rfam family "Bacterial small subunit ribosomal RNA", at positions 28 to 507 of the family's 1533-position model. The record is from RNAcentral.